Molecule: ribosomal RNA, 263 nt
Filed under: uncultured bacterium
Lineage: Bacteria
Description: partial 16S ribosomal RNA
Rfam family: Bacterial small subunit ribosomal RNA
Source: RNAcentral
GUCCACGCCGUAAACGAUGAAUACUAGGUGUCGGUUGGCAUAGCCAAUCGGUGCCGCAGCUAACGCAAUAAGUAUUCCACCUGGGGAGUACGUUCGCAAGAAUGAAACUCAAAGGAAUUGACGGGGACCCGCACAAGCGGUGGAGCAUGUGGUUUAAUUCGACGCAACGCGAAGAACCUUACCAAGUCUUGACAUCCCGAUGACCAACUAUGUAAUGUAGUCUCUCUUCGGAGCAUCGGUGACAGGUGGUGCAUGGUUGUCGU